Molecule: ribosomal RNA, 484 nt
Filed under: uncultured bacterium
Lineage: Bacteria
Description: partial 16S ribosomal RNA
Rfam family: Bacterial small subunit ribosomal RNA
Source: RNAcentral
AGUGAACGCUGGCGGCGUGCUUAACACAUGCAAGUCGAACGAGAACGGGUUAUAGCUUGCUAUAAUUGUCAGCUAAGUGGCGCACGGGUGAGUAAUGUAUAGGUAAUAUGCCUCUUACUAAGGGAUAACAAAUGGAAACGUUUGCUAAUACCUUAUACUCCUUAUUAACAGAAGUUAAUAAGGGAAAGAUUUAUUGGUAAGAGAUUAGCCUGUAUUGUAUCAGUUAGUUGGUGAGGUAAUGGCUUACCAAGACUAUGACACAUAACUGGUUUGAGAGGAUGAUCAGUCACACUGGAACUGGGACACGGUCCAGACUCCUACGGAAGGCAGCAGUGGGGAAUAUUGCACAAUGGACGAAAGUCUGAUGCAGCAACGCCGCGUGGAGGAUGACACAUUUCGGUGCGUAAACUCCUUUUAUAUGAGAAGAUAAUGACGGUAUUAUAUGGAUAAGCACCGGCUAACUCCGUGCCAGCCGCCGCCGUAA